Molecule: ribosomal RNA, 542 nt
Filed under: Meyerozyma guilliermondii
Lineage: Eukaryota; Fungi; Ascomycota; Pichiomycetes; Serinales; Debaryomycetaceae
Also listed under: 1 other name
Description: eukaryotic LSU rRNA
Rfam family: Eukaryotic large subunit ribosomal RNA
Source: RNAcentral
AGCGGCAAAAGCUCAAAUUUGAAAUCUGGCACCUUCGGUGUCCGAGUUGUAAUUUGAAGAUUGUAACCUUGGGGUUGGCUCUUGUCUAUGUUUCUUGGAACAGGACGUCACAGAGGGUGAGAAUCCCGUGCGAUGAGAUGCCCAAUCCUAUGUAAGGUGCUUUCGAAGAGUCGAGUUGUUUGGGAAUGCAGCUCUAAGUGGGUGGUAAAUUCCAUCUAAAGCUAAAUAUUGGCGAGAGACCGAUAGCGAACAAGUACAGUGAUGGAAAGAUGAAAAGAACUUUGAAAAGAGAGUGAAAAAGUACGUGAAAUUGUUGAAAGGGAAGGGUUUGAGAUCAGACUCGAUAUUUUGUGAGCCUUGCCUUCGUGGCGGGGUGACCCGCAGCUUAUCGGGCCAGCAUCGGUUUGGGCGGUAGGAUAAUGGCGUAGGAAUGUGACUUUGCUUCGGUGAAGUGUUAUAGCCUGCGUUGAUGCUGCCUGCCUAGACCGAGGACUGCGAUUUUAUCAAGGAUGCUGGCAUAAUGAUCCCAAACCGCCCGUCUU